AGAGUUUGAUCCUGGCUCAGGAUGAACGCUAGCUACAGGCUUAACACAUGCAAGUCGAGGGGAAACGACAUCGAAAGCUUGCUUUUGAUGGGCGUCGACCGGCGCACGGGUGAGUAACGCGUAUCCAACCUGCCCACCACUUGGGGAUAACCUUGCGAAAGUAAGACUAAUACCCAAUGAUAUCUCUAGAAGACAUCUGAAAGAGAUUAAAGAUUCAUCGGUGAUGGAUGGGGAUGCGUCUGAUUAGCUUGUUGGCGGGGUAACGGCCCACCAAGGCAACGAUCAGUAGGGGUUCUGGGAGGAAGGUCCCCCACAUUGGAACUGAGACACGGUCCAAACUCCUACGGGGCAGCA
Molecule: ribosomal RNA, 354 nt
Filed under: uncultured bacterium
Lineage: Bacteria
Description: bacterial SSU rRNA
Rfam family: Bacterial small subunit ribosomal RNA
Source: RNAcentral